Schistocerca serialis cubense is the source of this 3340-nucleotide RNA transcript. It is a transcript of the gene named dynactin subunit 5, with no coding region annotated. The transcript is spliced from 2 exons. The record is from RefSeq and is a predicted model, not a curated record. Lineage: Eukaryota; Metazoa; Arthropoda; Insecta; Orthoptera; Acrididae.
GCUCCUAUGUUUCAGGUGUUGUAGCACAGUGGAGAUGAGGAAGCUCCAUUUCUUCUCACAUAAUGAAGUCUACAACCUUCCAUUCUCCAUGUGGGAACUGGAACCAGCUCUGUCAGCAACCAGAGACACUGCUCCAGGACCUGAUGAGAUUCAGUAUGCCAUGCUCUGUCAUCUGUGCCCUGAAGUGAAAGGACAGCGCCUCUCAUUUCAAUCAGAUCUGGUUGAGGACAAUACCCCACUACCUGAAAGGAGGCAAUAUUAAUUUCAUUAUGGAAAUCACGCAAGGGCCUUAGCACCCCUAACAGUUACCGGAGUGAAGCCAUUACCACUUGUAUGGAUAAGACUCUUGAACGCACGGUCAACCACUGCCUCGUCUGGCUGCUAGGAUUCUGAGGUUACGUGAGCCACUCCCAGUGUGGUUUCAGACACUACCAUUCCACCCACGGGAGUGCAAAUGCGACCUCCCACUCCUUUAUCUGCCAUGAUGAAUCUCGAGCUGUGACGUCACCUGGCAGCUACUGCAGUGUGUUUACAACGGUGUCGCUCAGUGUUUCUAUCGAAGGCGUGUAUGUGAGUUCGUGUUACACGUUAGUUUGUAUGUAAUUCUAUAAAUACGUCGUAUUGUGCAGUUGCUGAAUGUCGUAAUAGUGGACGUAAGACUGAAGGCGUAAUUUAUCAUCGUUUUCCAAAAAAUGUUGAACUACAGCGUAAGUGGAUUGUUCGUUGUAAACGAGAGGACAAUAUUAAUGUUAAUAAUGCAAGAGUUUGUUCUGAACAUUUUUGUGAAAGCGAUUACAAACGAGACUUGCAGAAUGAAUUGUUAGGUCUACCUACACGGAAACUGCUACAAGAUAAUGCUGUUCCGUCUCUAAAAAUACCAAACUGGCAUGGAAAUGUAUUCAAAGUUCCAGGUCCCAGGACCGCGAAUGUUACCAGUAGUGUUCUAACAGAGAGAGAACGUCGCUGUGACACUAGAACAGUAAAAAAAGAGCUCUCUCAACGUUGAAAACUUUAUCUCCCAAGAAAAGUAAGCUGGACAAAUCCAGCAACACAGACGUUUUUACUGAUCUGCUAAUUUCACUUAAAGACCAGGAAAUUCAAGCACUGAAGAAAGAAUUGGUUAGUUUGAAGAUUAAAAAUGUUUGACUGGAACAAAGAAUUAAGUCCAUGAAAGAAGUUAUAAAGCAAGCUACAUCUAUAAAACAUAAUGUGUCUCACACUAAGAAGCACAAAUGUGUAUGCUCGGAUGUAAGAAGUACACUUUCUCAGUGUUUCACACCAGGACAAAUUCGUUGUCUGUUAAAGAAGAGGAAGCAAGUAAAGUGGUGCUCAGAGGACAUUGCAAAUGCUCUCACAUUGAGAGCUUUGUCUCCUAAAGCAUAUGCCUACCUGAGGAGGAAGAAUUAUCCUUUUCCCUGCAGGCCAACACUCCAGACAUGGACGAAACAGUUCAAGUGCCAACCAGGUAUUUUGAAACCAGUUUUGGAGAUAAUUAAAGGUAGGUCAGAAAUGUUCACAUCAUUAGAGGCGAUUGGUGUCCUAAGCUUCGACGAGAUGAGCAUUGACGGUCGUGUGACUUACGAUUCGUCCGACGAUGUAGUACUUGGACCACACAACAAUGUCCAAGUCGUCAUGGUUCGCAGCUUGUUUUCAAAAUGGAAGCAGCCAGUGUAUUAUGACUUUGAUGUUGCAAUGUCUAGUGAUUUGUUGCAGAAUGUCAUAAAAGAAGUUGAAACAGCAGGAAUCCGUAUCGUAGCUGUUACGUGUGACAUGGGACCAAAAAAUAUGUACGUGUGGAAGCAACUUGGUGUGUCUACAUCCAAGUCAUUCUUUUCAAAUCCUGUUGAUCAUAGCAGAAAAGUCUGGGUUAUUUUUGAUGUUCCACAUUUGCUUAAGUUAUUAAGAAAUCAUUUUCUUGAUGACGGAAUCACUUUGCCUGAUGGUACUGUGAUUACAAAAAUGGUUAUAGAAGAUUUUCUUCGACAUCAGAAAGGCGAUCUUUCGAUCAAUCACCACAUAUCGGAGGUUCAUCUUAAUGUUAGUGGACGUGAUCGUCAGAAUGUCCAAAGGGCUGCACAGAUAUUUUCACGUCGCACUGCCCAAGCUGUGAGAUAUGUUCUGCAUGAAGAUCGCGAAGGAAGCUUCAUUGAGCUCGUGAACGAUGUUUUCGAAGUGCUGAAUUCGAGAUACCCUCAAGAUGAAAAAGCUCCCCUUAGAAGUGAUUACGGGUUUAAUAUCAGAAGUCAGGAAAACUCUCUAAAAAGAUUUCUUGAAAUGUGUUCUAAUAUGCGAGUAGGAAAAAGAAACAGUCUUCUCCCGUUUCAGAAGGGAUUCAUUAUAUCAAUAAAUUCACUUUUUGGACUUUACAAUGAUAUGAAAAAUUCCGGAGCUACUUACAUGUUGACAGCCAGACUUAAUCAAGAUUGUCUGGAAAAUUUCUUUUCCAGAAUCCGUGGCCUUGGUGUCUUCUACAACAAUCCCACUCCUUUCGAGGUAAAAAACAGAAUUCGUUUAUACUGACUGGAAAUGCAAGUGAAACACCUUUGUCUUCUGGUGCUUCAACUUCAGAGGACAGAAAUGAGAAUUCUGCUUCUGAAAACUACCUGACACCAGCAGAUGAAACUGAGGAAGAUUUUGCACGUUUUCUCUCGAGUGAAUUAUGUAUAAGAGUAACUGAUAAAUCAUUUGACGUCGCCACAGAUGACGAAAACUUGCUCUUAGAUUUCGAGCUCAGUGAUUCAGUGUGUACCAGUGAAGACAUGAAUGAUGAUGCUUUAAAAUAUCUAGCAGGAUAUAUAGCAUUCAAGUGCAAAAACGUUGACAGUUCUUUGGGAAAUACAGCAGGGCAGUGUGUUGUUGAUACAGAAUUAAGUCUGAAGCAAGACUGGAUUACUAUUAUUUCAAAAGGGGGCAUCAUUUCUCCCUCUACUGACUGGUUUGCUAAAAUACAUGAGUUUGAAAUUAUAUUUGCUGCUUUUCAUGGAUCAAAUAUUUCUCAUUGUAAUAGAGUGAUGGCAACCUUAGCAGAUCAUGUAAGUGCGAAAUUUCCCAAACUUAAUAGCAAAAUAGUUCAGUUAUACGUCAGAAUAAGAACUUUUAUACGGACUAGACAUUUAAUCAAAAGAGCCAAAAUUGAUGCAAUGAAACGGAAUUCGGCAAGGAAGAAUCGGCUCUGGUCAGCGUUGCCUUCAGCAUCUUCGACAUAGCUUCUACAUCAGCUUUGUAAGUGUGGCCUUUUUCCCAAUACACAUGGGUGAUCAUGUGUUUGUUGGUGAACGCUCAGUGGUAAAUGCAGCAAAUGUUGGUUCAUAUGUUUACAUCGGCAAAAACUGUGUUAUUG